GAUGAAGAACGUAGCGAAAUGCGAUACGUAAUGUGAAUUGCAGAAUUCAGUGAAUCAUCGAAUCUUUGAACGCACAUUGCGCCCGCCAGCACUCUGGCGGGCAUGCCUGUUCGAGCGUCAUUUCAACCAUCAAGCCCCAGGCUUGCGUUGGAGCCCUGCGGCUGCCGCAGCCUCCUAAAAGCAGUGGCGGGCUCGCUAUCACACCGAGUGCAGUAGAUUACUCUUCGCUCAGGGCGUGCAGCGGGUUCCGGCCGUGAAACCCCCUACUUUUAAAGGUUGACCUCGGAUCAGGUAGGAAUACCUGCUGAACUUAAGCAUAUCAAUAAGCGGAGGA
Molecule: unclassified non-coding RNA, 334 nt
Filed under: soil metagenome
Description: partial contains 5.8S ribosomal RNA, internal transcribed spacer 2, and large subunit ribosomal RNA
Rfam family: 5.8S ribosomal RNA (bases 1-120)
Source: RNAcentral